RNAcentral lists this ribosomal RNA (465 nucleotides) under uncultured bacterium. Its description in RNAcentral is "partial 16S ribosomal RNA". It matches the Rfam family "Bacterial small subunit ribosomal RNA", at positions 28 to 507 of the family's 1533-position model. The record is from RNAcentral.
GACGAACGCUGGCGGCGUGCUUAACACAUGCAAGUCGAACGGAAAGGCCCUGCUUGCAGGGUACUCGAGUGGCGAACGGGUGAGUAACACGUGGGUGAUCUGCCCUGCACUUCGGGAUAAGCCUGGGAAACUGGGUCUAAUACCGGAUAGGAGCCAUUUUUAGUGUGAUGGUUGGAAAGUUUUUUCGGUGUAGGAUGAGCUCGCGGCCUAUCAGCUUGUUGGUGGGGUAAUGGCCUGCCAAGGCGGCGACGGGUAGCCGGCCUGAGAGGGUGGACGGCCACAUUGGGACUGAGAUACGGCCCAGACUCCUACGGGAGGCAGCAGUGGGGAAUAUUGCACCAUGGGCGCAAGCCUGAUGCAGCGACGCCGCGUGGGGGAUGACGGCCUUCGGGUUGUAAACUCCUUUCGCUAGGGACGAAGCUUUUUGUGACGGUACCUAGAUAAGAAGCACCGGCUAACUACGUG